UACGUAGGGAGCAAGCGUUGUCCGGAAUCAUUGGGCGUAAAGCGCGCGUAGGUGGCUCUAUAAGUCCGUUGUGAAAGUCAAAGGCUCAACCUUUGAAAGCCGAUGGAUACUGUGGAGCUAGAGUACGGAAGAGGCGAGUGGAAUUCCUGGUGUAGCGGUGGAAUGCGCAGAUAUCAGGAGGAACACCAAUAGCGAAGGCAGCUCGCUGGGACGUUACUGACACUGAGGCGCGAAAGCGUGGGGAGCAAACAGG
Molecule: ribosomal RNA, 253 nt
Filed under: uncultured bacterium
Lineage: Bacteria
Description: partial 16S ribosomal RNA
Rfam family: Bacterial small subunit ribosomal RNA
Source: RNAcentral